Bos taurus (domestic cattle) is the source of this 46-nucleotide non-coding RNA. The record is from Rfam. Lineage: Eukaryota; Metazoa; Chordata; Mammalia; Artiodactyla; Bovidae.
CAAGAGGCUCUUUUAAUAGCCAUAAACACACUCAGAAAACUAUAUU